GACGAACGCUGGCGGCGCGCCUAAUACAUGCAAGUCGAACGGGCAGGCUUCGGUCUGUCAGUGGCGGACGGGUGAGUAACACGUGGGUGAUCUGCCCUUCGGUGGGGAAGUAACUCUGGGAAACCGAGAGCUAAUACCGCAUAUGCUUACUAUUUCAUUAUAGUAAGUAAAGAUAUAUUGCCGAAAGAGGAGCCUGCGCCGGAUUAGCUAGUCGGUGGGGUAAUGGCCUACCGAGGCAACGAUCCGUAGCUGGUCUGAGAGGACGACCA
This 269-nucleotide ribosomal RNA is filed under the name uncultured bacterium. RNAcentral describes it as "partial 16S ribosomal RNA". It matches the Rfam family "Bacterial small subunit ribosomal RNA", at positions 28 to 306 of the family's 1533-position model. The record is from RNAcentral.